UACGUAGGGUGCAAGCGUUAAUCGGAAUUACUGGGCGUAAAGCGUGCGCAGGCGGUUUUGUAAGUCAGAUGUGAAAUCCCCGGGCUCAACCUGGGAAUGGCGAUGAAGACUGCAAGGCUAGAAUCUGGCAGAGGGGGGUAGAAUUCCACGUGUAGCAGUGAAAUGCGUAGAGAUGUGGAGGAACACCGAUGGCGAAGGCAGCCCCCUGGGUCAAGAUUGACGCUCAUGCAC
This 231-nucleotide ribosomal RNA is filed under the name uncultured bacterium. Its description in RNAcentral is "partial 16S ribosomal RNA". It matches the Rfam family "Bacterial small subunit ribosomal RNA", at positions 524 to 754 of the family's 1533-position model. The record is from RNAcentral.